Molecule: ribosomal RNA, 429 nt
Filed under: bacterium
Lineage: Bacteria
Description: partial 16S ribosomal RNA
Rfam family: Bacterial small subunit ribosomal RNA
Source: RNAcentral
UAGGGAAUCUUCCACAAUGGACGCCUGUCUGAUGGAGCAACGCCGCGUGAGUGAAGAAGGUUUUCGGUUCGUAAAGCUCUGUUGUUGGUGAAGAAGGAUAGAGGUAGUAACUGGCCUUUAUUUGACGGUAAUCAACCAGAAAGUCACGGCUAACUACGUGCCUCCAGCCGCGGUAAUACGUAGGUGGCAAGCGUUGUCCGGAUUUAUUGGGCGUAAAGCGAGCGCAGGCGGAAGAAUAAGUCUGAUGUGAAAGCCCUCGGCUUAACCGAAGAACUGCAGCGGAAACUGUUUUUCUUGAGUGAAGAAGAGGAGAGGGGAACUACAUGUGGAGCGGGGGAAUGAGUAGAUAGAUAGAAGAAGACAAGUGGGGGAGGAGACUCGCUGGUAGGCAAAUGACGCUGAGGCUGGAAAGCAUGGGUAGCGAACAGG